RNAcentral lists this ribosomal RNA (301 nucleotides) under uncultured bacterium. RNAcentral describes it as "partial 16S ribosomal RNA". It matches the Rfam family "Bacterial small subunit ribosomal RNA", at positions 509 to 807 of the family's 1533-position model. The record is from RNAcentral.
CAGCCGCCACGGUAAAACGAAGGGUGCAAGCGUUACUCGGAAUUACUGGGCGUAAAGCGUGCGUAGGUGGUGGUUUAAGUCCGUUGUGAAAGCCCUGGGCUCAACCUGGGAAUUGCAGUGGAUACUGGGUCACUAGAGUGUGGUAGAGGAUAGUGGAAUUUCCGGUGUAGCAGUGAAAUGCGUAGAGAUCGGAAGGAACAUCUGUGGCGAAGGCGACUAUCUGGGCCAACACUGACACUGAGGCACGAAAGCGUGGGGAGCAAACAGGAUUAGAUACCCGAGUAGUCCCUGUCUCUUAUAC